Molecule: non-coding RNA, 45 nt
Organism: Danio rerio (zebrafish)
Lineage: Eukaryota; Metazoa; Chordata; Actinopteri; Cypriniformes; Danionidae
Source: Rfam
ACAACGGUACUUUUCAGUGCCACCAAAACAUCAAAAACAUCAAUA